Molecule: long non-coding RNA, 964 nt
Filed under: Arabidopsis thaliana (thale cress)
Lineage: Eukaryota; Viridiplantae; Streptophyta; Magnoliopsida; Brassicales; Brassicaceae
Description: long non-coding RNA (ATHA_LNC000414)
Source: RNAcentral
UGAUGCAAAACCAAUCAACGAAACAUAUUAGAAAGAAGGAACCAUAUUAACAAGAACAAACCCACAAAUAUCCUUAAAUAUAAUUCAGUCACAAUUUAAACUUUAAAAACAAAAUCAUUUAUUCAUGGAUACAAGACUUAAUCUGAUAAAAAUUAAAUCAAUAAUGGAGUAUCGGAGGAGAACGAUUCGAUUUUUUGUGACCUCGGGCUGUUCGAUCCACCGUGAUCUCAUAAUCUCCACCGACACAGGGUCUCAACGGCGACUAACGGGCCAUCGUUACCGACUGAUUCCAUCUGUUUCCCAGAUCCGGUAAGCUUUUCUGGCGCUAGACAACGAACUUGUAUCCACUGUAAAUUUUGCUUUCAACUCACCCUUCUGGAUUGUUGUUCUUCUUAUUGGCAUGCUUCGGUGAGUUGGUUAGGUGUAGAUUCAACGUUUAUUCUGAGCUGAUUCUUUGACUUUGUAGUUUCGGGAAUUCAAACUAUCUGUGGGUUAAUUUUAAUCUGUAAAAUGCUCUUUGCUUCUUUGACUGCAUAAUUUUUGCUAUAGACAAUCGGUGCUUUAGGUCAUUAAAGGGGAGCAGAUUCUUAAACCUUUUUUUGUUUUUAUCACAAUGAACAAUGAUCAUCAGGAUCCUCGGAGGUGUCUCUUUUGUUUGGAAUUUUCAAAGAUGUAAUGAAACCUUUGUUUGAAAUAAGAAAGGAAAACAAUAGAUGUGCUAACUUUAAUUGCCAUUGUUUACUGCGUUUGCUCCUUCUUGGCCAUUCUUUGGCAUGCCUUGACCUGAGGAGCAUUGACAUUUCGUCACAUCUUUUAUGUAUGACUUUUGAUCCGGCUCAUUGAACUUUUCCCACAAUACUCGCAGGUUCCUUUGAUUUGGGUUCUCCUUCAAGAAUUGAUACACAAAUUUCAACAAUGCCAUAGUGCAAACUAUGGCGGCAACAAGGAAUAAAACCCAAAAACU